UUGGCAGAAGGGCUCUUCACCGCUGAGACCCCCUUCUGUUCCCGCUCUGUGUCAGCCUCGGAUCCACCCGCCCGUUCGCUCCGCAUCUGCCCUCCGUCCUUCAGCUGGAGUGUCCCGUCUCGCCGGGCCUUGGACCACCACUGGGGGCCCCCGGGCAAUGCUCACAGGGCCAGGAAGAAGUGGAUCCUGUUGUAGAGGUGACCGGGCAGCCCCACGCGGCCGAAGUACUCCACCACCAUGGACAGCAGGGAGACUGGGUCUCAGCCUCGGAGUUUGCUGUUCUUUAAUCUGCAACACAUGGGAGUUGAUAAGUGUGCUACAUGAAGAGACACGAACCUGGUUCUCAAAGUUUUAACAUAGUAUUCCUGGAGCCAAAGCUUGGAUGUGGCCUUGGGCCUCUGCGCACCACAUUCCUUGUCACUUCAUCACACUGUGCAAGGCUGUCCUGCCCCAUCUGAUGGCCAAGCACCCCUUUUGGGUGGUGGGGCGUUCAUACCCACCCCCAAGCUGGGGUGGGGGGUGCUGGGCAUCCUGCCCUGUUUCUCCUGGGUUCUGCCACUUCCUGCAGAUAAUAACCUGGCCUCACCUGCCCCCAGAAGGCUCAUAGGGGGGCUACAGUUGUCGUCCCUUGGAGGUCACCAUUUUCCAGUGGUGACCUGAGAAUAUCAGAUCCUCCUUGAUCUUCACUCCUUACCCUGGACAAUGACAUUUGCGCAGAUGGGAGAAUGGAGGGAUCAUGGAUCAUUUUGCCCUCCCUGACACAGGGAGCAGCCGAAAGCCUGGCUCCCAGCUCUGUGAUGAUGAAAAUGGUCUAGAUCUUUCUAUCCAGCGUGGUGGCUGUUAGGACUUCCCUGGUGGUGUAGCGGAUAGGAAUCUGCCUGCCGAUGCAGGGGACAUGAGUCUGACCCCUGGUCUGGGAGGGCGGAUUCCACAUGCCGUGAGGCAACUAAGCCCAUGUGCUGCAACUACUGAAGCCUGGGCACCGGGCCUGUGCUCUGCAACAAGAGAAGCCCCCGCAGUGAGAAGCCUGCUCACAGAAACUGCAAAAAGCCUGAAUGCAGCAGUGAACACCCAGUGAAGCAAAAAAAAAAAAAAAAAGGUAGUGUUAGCCAUAUGUGGCUACUGAGCAUAUGCAAUGUGGCUGGUGAGAACCAGGAACUGAGUUUCAGAAGUUUAAAUUAAAUA
Dama dama (fallow deer) is the source of this 1185-nucleotide long non-coding RNA. RefSeq lists it as uncharacterized. The record is from RefSeq and is a predicted model, not a curated record. The transcript is spliced from 3 exons. NCBI's taxonomy places the organism in Eukaryota, Metazoa, Chordata, Mammalia, Artiodactyla, Cervidae.